Panthera uncia (snow leopard) is the source of this 1584-nucleotide long non-coding RNA. RefSeq lists it as uncharacterized. NCBI's taxonomy places the organism in Eukaryota, Metazoa, Chordata, Mammalia, Carnivora, Felidae. The record is from RefSeq and is a predicted model, not a curated record. The transcript is spliced from 3 exons.
GGCUGGUAGGGGGACGCGCGGGGGGGGCGCGGCCGAGGGCAAAGCUGCGCGCUGGCCAGGCGGCUGCGGGCCCUGCCUUUCUCCGCUUGCUCCGACGCCGCGUUCUUGGCUAGGAUUUUCUCGUGAUUCCGAGUCUCUUGGCCCACACCUCUUACAGUUCUCUGGAACGUGGCUGCUGAUACACCCCCCUCCUCGAGGCAAGUAGAUACCGGAGUCCGUUACCACCUCCCCCUUCAGCGUAGUGGAAACUACUGCCCUCGGGCGGGGGCCGCAGGGGGCGGGAGCAGAAAAGUGACGAAUGGAUCGGAGAAGGGAACAUAAAUGCGUGGGUAAAUACCUAGGAGUGGAAUUGAUGAGUAAUAUGAUCCAGGGAAGGAAGAAAACAAGAAGGCAAACACCAGACUACGUGUGAGGCUGUCACUGGAAACUGAAGGCUGACCCUUGCCUUUUUACCUUCCUCGACUGCAGCCCUAGGGGGAUUACUUCAGAAAGGCAUGGGGGCCCUGAAAUGGAGGGUGCCUGUGCUAUAGCGUGCUGGACCUGCCUUGUUCCAGCUUGUGAGAACCAAUUGUUAAAUUUUUUGGAGUUUUGUGAGCUUGUUGGUGACAUGUUGGUAACUUGAAAUCCACCAGGGUAAGAGGUUUACUCUCUGGAAGUUGGCAAAUGCUACAACCUGCCCACUCCCUCCACUGCCCUGGAGAGCCAGUUGUUAAACAUUUAUCAGCACCCCACUGAAUCUGUGGAAUAUAGAUGGGCUGCCAAGGACUGGCCGUAUUCUGAAAUUUCACAUCAUGUGUAAAAUUUGUGGGGUGAUACCUCCAGGAAGAUGGGUGUCAGUCAGCCUCCCAGGGCUCUGCCUAUCUUUUUGUGCCAUGGUGAGGCAUCCAAGAGCAAGACAGAAGUAGUAAAGUAUCUUAGACAAGGCUAGUAAGUGACCUGAGGUCCCAGAGUGGUAUGGGAGGGAAUAUCACUGUUGUCUGAGCUCCUUGGGAAGGAUAUGGCAAUGACUGAAUAAGGGCCAAGUUCGAGGGGUCAUGAGGUUGAGGCCCAGUGAUGACCUGCCAGUAGCCUGAGUGAUGAAUGACCUGGAACUAGGUAAGCUGUGUAUCUCACAGAAUGUUGAUGUUGAUGGAUGACACCUCACAUCUCCAGCCACUCUCUUCAUCCUGACAUCCGGGCACAACUCUGCAAGCCCCUGGCACUUAAACUUGAUCCCAGGGAACAAGAAGGAUAAAUGUUUCAAUUAGAGUAGUGUGUGAGCACCCACCUUGGGUGCAGAAUUUAAUGAGGUGGCAAAAAAAGUUAGAAGGGGGAGGAAAACAUCAUUCUAAGGGUCAGAUACAGGGAAGGUGAAUAGAAGGGAGGGUGUUGAUCGAGAAUGGUUUUUGCGGUGGAUUUAAUGAAGUAGGUCAGUACGUCUAAUUGUAAGUACAAGUUUAUAAUAUAAGUCACCCAUAUGAUUCCUCAGCAAAACCCAAAGUGAGCAAAGAAUUUAAUCUCUUUGUUUUCUUUCAUUUGUGGAUGUGCUUAUGUAUUUUUUUAAAAUAAUUACAUAUAGGGCAUUUCCAAUUUUUUUUAUUUUUU